AUAUAACAUUCUUUGAUUGAUUUAUUUUGAUUUAGGGUUUCAUUUGUUGAUUGUUAGCAAUUCGAUUUUACUCAGUUUGGCGACGAAUCGGUUGAUUACUGCAGAGGAUCAUGCCGCGAUCCUGAUUAUGAUGAAGGGUUUGAAUUUUUUUGUAUUGCAGAUGGUUGUGAUGUUGAUGGGAGGUGUUCUUCGCUUCUUUCGCUGGUUAAGGCUUUUGAUUCUGUUCUCGCUUUUUAUAAUGGGUUCUGUGAUCUGAAGUAGGUGCAUCUAUUGUUAUGUUUCAUGGGGACUUGCCUUACUCAUCAAAAGACAUCCUCAAGAAGCUCGAGACUUUGAAUGAUAAACAUAUUAUUGGUUCUGGUGGCUUUGGAACUGCAUCCAAGCUAGAUAUGGAUGAUGACAAUAUUUUUGCUCUGAAAAGAAUAGUAAAGACAAAUGAAGGUCUUGACCGCUUUUUUGAUAGGGAACUUGAGAUCUUGGGCAGUAUUAAACAAAUAUCGUUAUUUGGUAAAUCUACGUGGGUAUUGCAAUUCACAGUCAUCUAAGUUAUUAAUUUAUGAUUUUUUGUCUGGCGGGAGCUUGGAUGAAGCUUUUUACAUGAUUGAUUUGAAGCUGAAAUUGUGUCGGGGCUCUUCGACUAAAAAGAUUUUGGUUCGAGAGACGAUGAGUUAUGAAGCUAAUAAUCUCAUUUUAGGGAUCAAAAAGAAUUGCCGGGGCAUUAGGUCUUCAUCUACCUCGAUCGCAAAGUAAUGUUCGAAGAAACGGCCGAAGGAUUGCUCGGUUCGUGCAGUGAGCAAUGGCAAGAUUGUAUUCCAGAGAUAAUCCACAAUGGGGUUUCCAGCAUGCCUUGAGGAAGAGACCGUGACCAAGUUUUUGCUGGAUUGUUUGUUAACAAAUUAAGACUUAGAGAAAGGACAGAUCCAACUUGGAGAUACGCCAGAGCCCGAGUAUCCUCACCAGGAGUGCUUUGUAGACAGAGCAGAAUAAGAAGUCGAAGCCUAGUUUUUCUUUUAUAAGUUGAUGGUCCUAGUUUACUUUUGUAGUUCUUUCUAUUUCCGUUGAUGAUGUAUCUUUGUAUCUCUUCAGCAUUUUGUUGGACUAUUUUGUAAUAAGGGCAUGUUUGACCCAAACUUUAUG
Asparagus officinalis (garden asparagus) is the source of this 1137-nucleotide long non-coding RNA. RefSeq lists it as uncharacterized. Lineage: Eukaryota; Viridiplantae; Streptophyta; Magnoliopsida; Asparagales; Asparagaceae. The transcript has 6 exons. The record is from RefSeq and is a predicted model, not a curated record.